GGGAAUAUUGCACAAUGGGCGCAAGCCUGAUGCAGUAACGCCGCGUGAGGGACGACGGCCUUCGGGUUGUAAACCUCUUUUGGCAGGGAAGAAGCGAAAGUGACGGUACCUGCAGAAAAAGCACCGGCUAACUACGUGCCAGCAGCCGCGGUGAUACGUAGGGUGCAAGCGUUGUCCGGAAUUAUUGGGCGUAAAGAGCUCGUAGGCGGUUUGUCGCGUCUGCUGUGAAAACCCGAGGCUCAACCUCGGGCCUGCAGUGGGUACGGGCAAACUAGAGUGCGGUAGGGGAGAUUGGAAUUCCUGGUGUAGCGGUGGAAUGCGCAGAUAUCAGGAGGAACACCGAUGGCGAAGGCAGAUCUCUGGGCCGUAACUGACGCUGAGGAGCGAAAGCAUGGGGAGCGAACA
Molecule: ribosomal RNA, 405 nt
Filed under: uncultured bacterium
Lineage: Bacteria
Description: bacterial SSU rRNA
Rfam family: Bacterial small subunit ribosomal RNA
Source: RNAcentral